Long non-coding RNA from Papaver somniferum (opium poppy), 488 nucleotides. RefSeq lists it as uncharacterized. The transcript has 3 exons. NCBI's taxonomy places the organism in Eukaryota, Viridiplantae, Streptophyta, Magnoliopsida, Ranunculales, Papaveraceae. The record is from RefSeq and is a predicted model, not a curated record.
CUGUCCUGAAGAAAUCUAGGGUUUCAGUCGAAGAACGAGAAGAUUCGGAUGAGGUUUGAAUGGAUCUGAAAUUGAAGAUGGGUUUGAUUCAGAUGAGGUUUUUGGUUUUGUGGAUUGUGAAAUGAAGUUGAGGAUUUGAAAUGAGGGUUCUCGUGGUGCUGCUGGUGUGAACAGUGGAGAGAAAUUAGAAGAUUGAAAUGGGUUGAACAGGUUGAAGGUUGCUGUUGAAGAUGAAUGACUAGAUGAAUGUUUAGUGAAAGUGCAGGAAGGAAGAAUGGGAAAAAGGGUUGAAGUCAGAUUCAAUUGUGAGCUGGUGUUGGUGGUGAAUGGGUGAAUGUUUGGUACCCAGUUCCAACUCCAAUUUUCUCUUAAAACUCCUUUGGAUCUUAAACGGAGCUGCUCAAAAGAAGUUAAAGGAUAAGAUGGCUGAAUUUCAGACCUUAAGGCAACAUAUCAGCCGAGAGCACCGAGAGGAUGUCGAGAGAAGG